UACGUAGGGUGCAAGCGUUGUCCGGAAUUAUUGGGCGUAAAGAGCUUGUAGGCGGUUUGUCGCGUCUGCUGUGAAAUCCGGGGCUCAACCCCGGACUUGCAGUGGGUACGGGCAGACUAGAGUGUGGUAGGGGAGACUGGAAUUCCUGGUGUAGCGGUGAAAUGCGCAGAUAUCAGGAGGAACACCGAUGGCGAAGGCGGCCUGCUGGGGC
RNAcentral lists this ribosomal RNA (211 nucleotides) under uncultured bacterium. Its description in RNAcentral is "partial 16S ribosomal RNA". It matches the Rfam family "Bacterial small subunit ribosomal RNA", at positions 524 to 735 of the family's 1533-position model. The record is from RNAcentral.